GUGGGAAGAAAGAAUCUUGGCAGAGGCAUGGGGUAACGCCAAGGUCCUUUCCUCUCCAGAU
Molecule: microRNA precursor, 61 nt
Filed under: Monodelphis domestica (gray short-tailed opossum)
Lineage: Eukaryota; Metazoa; Chordata; Mammalia; Didelphimorphia; Didelphidae
Description: microRNA mdo-mir-7261 precursor
Source: miRBase by way of RNAcentral